RNAcentral lists this long non-coding RNA (19447 nucleotides) under Citrus maxima (pomelo). RNAcentral describes it as "long non-coding RNA (CMAX_LNC003492)". Lineage: Eukaryota; Viridiplantae; Streptophyta; Magnoliopsida; Sapindales; Rutaceae. The record is from RNAcentral.
UUUGGAUUAUUGCCUCCUCCGAUGGAAAGAAGAGUAGUGAUUGAUGGGUUCUUUAUUUUGACAGUGUCUGUGAAGUUGGAGAAUUGUUUUUCAUCAGAAGGUGAUAAAGAAAGCUCAUAGGAAGUUGAGUUGACAUCGGCAAAACCACACAUAAGGUGAGUGAAAAGAGCAGAAUUUACAUCUGAAACGGGGAACCCACCGUCUGAAUCCCAGUAACCAGCUCUGAUUAAAGUUUGUGCCCUUGCAGGAAGCGAUUCUGAAAAUAUAAAAAUGUAGAGUACAAGAAUGAUAAUUUUGGAUGCCAUUGUGGGAACCUUGCUGCUUUGAGGCAAACCUAGUAUGUGAUUACAUAUAUAUGUACAGACACAAAAUGUAAUGGAGAAAAUAUCCGACACCGAUUGAGAUUUGUUAUUGGACUAUAAUACAAACUUGAGGCAACUUUCAACUCAUGAGCUUAGCUCAUAAGUCUUUAUACGGUAUCAAAGUCAAGUUUCGAAAGAGUGACUCUAUACUACCUUUCAAUUUAACAAAGAGAAAGAAAAGAGAUCAGCCUACACGUGGUAGGAAGAUAGAAAAAGUAUAUCACAUUGGCUAAGAUUAAUUACUAGGUUGAUAAUAUAAGCUCAAAACAACAUUUAACUGUUGCGGAAAUGUGGGUUGAGCAAUUACUAAUACUGCAACUUCUGAAGAAAUAUAAAUGUGGUGUUAAACAAAUGCAAAGAAAAUAUAACACAAUGAUUUACGUGGUUCGGCGUAAUGCUUACAUCCACAGGCAAAAACUAAAAGAUAAUUUUACUAACAAUGAAAAUUUACAAAAGUGAGAAAAAUUCACAAAACCCACAACCCCAAUACACCCAAAUGAAACCUAACUAGAACACUCAAAUGGAAGCUCUCGUAAAUUCUCUCAAAGAACUCACUUGCAAUUGCUCUCUCCAUUUCUUUCAAAUUGGGAUGAUUUACAAAUGCAUUUUGCUUCUCUAUUUAUAGGCAAAGCAUGCUCACCCACCACACGGCUUCAAUUUGACUUUAAUUGGCUAAAUUGACAAAUUUGGCAAUUGGUGCCAAAUUUGUCAUGCAAUGCAUGCUAGCUGUUCCAUGCCAUUUAUUCAAUUUGCAUAUUUUCAAAACCUAACUUUGCUUUUUUGAAAUUGGUAAGCCGACCAUUUGACUUUUCAACAUCAACUCCAUAACAAGCUGUAAUUUAAUAAAGUUAGGUCAACUCGAUAUUUUAUAUAGUACGUCAUGAGUGAGGAGGAGUUUAAGCUACAAAUCGCAGUCAUGAGUGAGGACAAAUUUGAUUCUCUCAAGAUUUUGCGUUUUGUACACGUUGAUCAUGGACUGAAUCAAAAUAGAAAAUAUUUUCACAGGAGUUUGCCUUCAAAUUGCACGAAUGGAACCAUAGAGGAAUACAUCGAAAAGUUUGUCUUCUUGCCAUGAUGUUAAGUGAGAAGAUUGAAGUUCUUAAAUUAAGCUAUGACGUUUUACCUCCACUUAGCUUGACUUCUGAAGCUGAAGACUCAUCCUUUUGCAUUGACUUUGUUGGUAUUUAAAUGACCUCGGAGUCUUGGACGUGUUUCUGAAGCAAUGUCAUGGUCUAUGAGUAGAUUUUAUUUUUUGGGUAAGAAAGGGAAAGUCUGUCGUUAGGAAAACAUCCUGACAACGAGAUGGUGAGAGGGGAUGAAAAAGAAAUUAUACACUUAGUUACUUCCUCAUGAUAAGAUUCAGUGGUAUUGUAAUUUUAAUAAAAAAUUAAGACCAUUUUGCCUUUUUCCUUGUGUAAUUUAAUUUUCAGUCAAGACCACCCUCCCAUUUUAGUACAGGGAAAUUAUCAUUUGUAUAUUCUUAGUUUACUCCAUUAUCAAAAAUAUUACAACACUUUGAGGGUGUAUCAAUCGUCUACCCUAAGUUGACAAAAUGUAUUAGCUGACCACCAAACCGUUAGUUGCCGUUUAAGUAUGAUGAUAUCAGAAGGGUAAUUUGGUUUUUUCAUAUGAUACAAGUGAUAAUUUAAGGGUAUACAAGUGAUAAAAAGAGAAUUUAAGGGUAUACAAGUGAUAAUUUUCAAGGGUAAAAUCGUCAAUUCACUGUAAUUCCGUUAACUUUCAAACGGCAACUAACGGUUUGGUGGUCGGCUGAUACAUUUUGUCAACUAAGGGUGGACGAUUGAUACACCCUCAAAGUGUUGUAGUAGUUUUGAUAACAGAGCAAAUAUAAGGUAUACGAAUGAUAAUUUUCCUUUAGUAUAAAAGCCUAUACAAAUGUACGUUUUACUCAAUGUUUACAUAGAAACAAAUGGCGCGAAGACGAUUUGUCAAUCUAGUACCACUCUCGUAUACUUGGUAAGAUUUGGCUUCACCAAAUUGUAGCCUAUAUUUUACUUUAAUGAGAAAAUCAAAUAAUAUAUGUUUGAACAAAUAAUUUUCUUUGCUCUAUAUACUUUCUUAAAAUGUAUGGAGUGGGUAAAGUAUAAAUUGAUCUCUUAGCCCGUUGACUCCUCCAAAAUUCAAACUCAAUUUAAUGGUAAGUUAAAUAAUGCUACUUGAAAAUCAUUCCACCAAAUAUCAUAAAAACUAUAAUUAAGUUUCACUGAUUAUUGAAUUAUAGAAUGUGCUAUCAUUUCCUAGCUAGAAUUUGUUUAAUUCUAUUAAUUUACAAUCAUUUUUAUUUUAUUUAAUUAAUUAAAGUGAAUUUAUUAUGUAUAAGUUCUAUAUAUGUAAAAUUUUAAAAUCUAAUGUUGAAUUGAAUUGUACUGAACUUUUUAUAAUUUUUUAUCACGCCUGCAAAUUUAACAGUUUUGUAUUAAUAUUGAUAGCACAUAAUAUAUAGGAUUAAGAGAGAUUGGUUUCGAGUUGCUACAAGCAUUUUGGGAUUGCAUGCACAAGGGUUUAUAAACAAAGGGUGCAAUUAAUUACCCCAAACGAGGGUGCAUUUUUAUGAUGAAAUAAAAACUACGUGCGGGGUUGUAAAAGUGGCUCCAUAAUUAAUGUACAUUAACAUUCAUCUAGCUAUCACCUCCGAAAAUGAUACAGCAUAAGCCGAGCAUUUUUCCAAUUGUGUUGUAGAUAAUAGUUCAAUCCCAAUUUCAUCAACUUGUUUUGAGAAAGGAGGCUUCUUGGGAGUAUUAAUAUUUGUGGUUCCAUUCUUGAGCAUUGAGGAAACUUCCAGCAUUGAAGGUCGGUCGUUUGGAUUCUCCUGGACACACAACAAAGCUAUUUCCAGACAUCUCAUUAAUUUACAAGGGGAAUUUGUAUUGUCUAGGAAUGAAUCCACAAACUCCACGCCUUUGCCACCUUUCCACAACUGAUAUGCCUGAAAUUAUCAAGUACCAUCUCGUUACAUAAUUUAUACUUCUUAAUUAAGUGCGCAUAUGUGUACUCAGGGUUACUAUAGCCGAAGAAACUUACGUGCUCUAGAAUGCUUAAAUUUUCAUUGAUGCCACAUAACACUGAAAGCCUCUUUCCACUUAUGAUUUGUAGAAGUAAAACUCCGAAACUAAAAACGUCUGAUUUGGUAGAGUAUACACCUUGUCUGGCGUACUCAGGAGGAAUAUAGCCUCUGCAUUCAAAAUAACCAAGUAUAUAUGAGUAAGGGAUUUUGCAAUUUAAUAAAUUUGUAAAACCCAUUUUAAAUUGUGGUAAAAGUCCAUUCCGCAUUUUAUUAAAGUGCUGAAUUCCUUAUUCGAAACCCAAUAUAUGUAUAACAAACAGAAGCUUGAGUAAAGGAUAUCAUUUAGUUGUGAUAUACUUACAUUGUUCCCACAACUUGUUCUGAUUCGCGUCGAGACUCUCUUUUGCAAAAAUUCUAGCCAUACCAAAAUUUGAAAUUUUAGGUUUCAUAUCUUGACCUAACAAAACAUUACUGGCUUUCAAGUCUCGAUGAAUAAUAGUCAGUCUUGAGUAUUCUUGGAGGUAUAAAAGUCCUUGAGUUAUCCCUUCAAUGAUAUGAACAUGUUUUUUCCAAUCCAAAAGAAGUCUUCUGAUGGGAUCUACAACAAAUAUAUAGUUUUGGACAAUAAGUGAUAUACAAGCGAAUUAUAUACACAAUUGAUAUUAACUUGAUUUCAGAACAAACCAAAAAGGUAGCAAUCCAAGCUUUUGUUUGGCAUGUAUUCGUAGACCAGCAUCCGUUCCUCACUGUCAAUGCAAAAACCUAAAACUCUAAUAAGAUUUACAUGUUGGAGUUUUGCAGUAAGAAUAACCUCAUUCUUAAACUCCUCAAAUCCCUGUGCGGAUGAUUUCGAAAGUUUCUUCACUGCUAUCACCACUCCACAGGGUAAUACACCCUGCAACCCAAAAAAAAACCACGUUCAUAUAAAGCUUUCACUAAUUAGAGACGCUGAGAAAUGUUAGCCAAACAAUAUGCUACCCCCCAAAGUUGAGGGCACCAUUUUAAGUCCUUUAGUCCCCAUGGACGCAAAAUGUAAAUCUCCUCUCACAGAAUAUGGAUAUGGGUAGAGGUAUCUUCCUCAAAUGUUAGUCAAAGUAGUUAUAUCCCUCUAGUGUGAGGUUAAAGGUCUCAUCUCUAAUAGGCAUAGAGUUUUAAAUUAUAUGUUUUGGGCCUCUGAAUUCUACGACGAGUGUACAAAUUCAAACUUCCGAUAGGAUCCAAAUUGCAACAUUGUGGAUUGUAACAAAUUAAAAUAUAGGUACACACACACACACACAUGUUACCUUGUAAACAGGACCAUAUCCACCCUCCCCAAGGUUAUUUCUAAUUGAAAAUCCCUCGGUGGCCGCCUCAAUAUCAGCCAAACUAUAUACUCUGAGAUUAGGAACAUUUCUGUUAAAGUCUCCAGCUUCUGUUUCAUUAUUUUCUCUCGUGUUUGAUGCUUUAGCAGAAUCCUCUGUUCCUAACAUCAACCAAGAGUAAAUAUUAGAUAAUUAAUUGUAUGUCAGCCUAAGUUUUAUAUAUAUAUGAAAUGCAUGCUUAAUUAUAAUUGGUAGCUGAAGCUUGUUACCUUCUAUUAACUUGAGCCUUUUCAUCUGGUUGUAUUUAUAUGCACAACAACUUAGAAGGAGAGUCAAAGCUGCCGCUGCAGUCGAAAUGAGUACCAAGGACAGAUGGCGGUUAUUACUAUGUUCAUCUUUGUCAGCUGAAGCAGAAGUAAUCCUGUCUUUUUGUGCUGGAAAUAUGUAUAGUUCAGCAAUUAAUAAUAACUAGCUAGAGAUGCCAUAACAAUCAUUAUUAAUCAGAGAGAACAAUUAUUGCAUAGAUAAAUACCUGCAGCUUGAGAAAGUACCCAAUUAUGAUCGUCAUAAUCAACUCGCCAAACAUAGUAACCAAGAAAUCUCUUCUCUUUGGCAUAGGCGAUCUUAGCUCUAACAGCCUCCACAUCAUCAAAACCAAACCAAAUCGUCCCAGUGGAGAAGUAAUUCACCACAUAAGUUGAAUUGUACAUAACUUGAACAUUAGGACCAUAGGUCUUGAUGUGAUUCUUGAUAUCCCUAUAGGUCACAAGGCCACCAUUACUCAUAGCUGGUCCUGCUGCUGCUACUCCAAUACCAUUGUCUUCAGGUUUCACAAGCGUCCAUGCAUAGCCGUAGAAAGGCAAACACAAAACCAACUUAUCAGCCAAUAACCCUCUCUAAAUCCAUGCCCUUAAAACCUGAUCAGUACUGUCAAAGAAGCUCAUAAUGCAUGGAAGGAUGCAGCACACGUGUGAGAUGAAUAUAGUCAGCUGAAUCAAUUGAAGAGUGGAGUGCCAGCUCAGCUGAAGUUAGUUAGACACGUUAAGAUCAAGUUUUAGUUAGUUCUUCAUUUUCUGUUAAGCUGAAAAACAGCUGAGUAUAAAUACAAGCAUAUUGUAAUCAUUUUGAGGUUAAGUAAAAAUAAAAUAAAGCAUUUGAUUCCAGAAUUUCUUUUACAAAUUUUCUUAGCACUUUAGAUACAUUUUCUCAGUAACCAAACAGUUUGUUCAUUCAAGCUUUUAAGCUUUCAAACAUGGUAUCAGAGCCUUACAGAGCUAGUUCCAGUAAUCAACAGUCAAGCCUUCGUAAUCAAACAACAAACAACACAAAUCAACCUACUCAAAUCAACUUCUCUUUUUCUAAUCCUAUCAAGCUAGAUCGAUCCAAUUACUUACUCUGGCGUUCUCAAGUUUUGGCCUCAAUAAGAGGCAAUCGUUUGGAAGAUUUCGUCACAAGAGCCAGAUCAGUACCUGAUAAGUGUCUUCUGUUAACUGAAGCAGAUGGAUCUACACAACAAGUUGAAAAUCCAGAAUAUCAGAUCUGGAGAUCACAGGAUCAGACACUUCUUGGCUGGCUACUGUUGUCAUUAAGUGAAGGUAUCUUAAGUCUUGUAAUCAAUUGUGAGAGUUCAUUUGAUAUAUGGAAAACUUUGGAAAAGAAAUUUGGAGUUCAAUCUGAAGCUCGAGUUCUUCAGCUCAGAUACGAACUAAACACUCUUAAAAAGGAAGCCCUUAGUGUUGAAGAUUAUUGUAUUAAAAUGAAAGCAAUAGCAGAUAAGCUGGCCAGUGCUGGUAGUUCAAUUACAGAGAAGGAUCUUAUGCUAACUAUUCUUAAUGGAUUAGGAUCAUGAUAUCGUGAUAUUGCUACAUUUAUAACUGGUUCACGAAUGGAGUUUGAUGAUGCUUAUGCACUGUUACUCACUCAUGAGACUAGAUUAGAGCAGGAGCAAGGUGACAAAAGUAUGUUUAAUGCAAACUAUGCAUACACAAAUGCAUAUUAUCCUAGAGCUUAUUUUGCACAGCCUAGAAGAAGUUUUAAACGAGGAGGUUAUUCUGGUGGUAGAACUCCUUUCUUUGGCAGAGGAAAUAUGAAUUACUCUCCAAGAAUGUUUAAUGGAGGCUUUAGAAAUGGAUAUGGCAGAGGAUUUUUUCCUGGAAAUAACUCAACUGAUUUCAAUCAUUUUCCAGCUCCUAGGAAUCCAGUACCUAGGAACUCAUCUUUUCCAGCUAGAAAUGGAUCUGCUAACAUGAGUGGAUCACAAGGAAGUUUUAAUAAUGCUGGAGAGAUGACAUGUCAGAUUUGUUUUAAGAAUGGCCAUACUGCUGAUGUCUGUUGGCACAGAUUUGUUGAAGAUUUUGUACCUGUUCCAAGAGGUUUUGGCAAGGGAAGAACACCAAGAGCAGCAUAUUUAUCAAACUUUGAUGGCUCCAUUUCUAAUCCAGAUUUUGGCUAUGAAAAUCUUAAUACUAUGUUUCCAGGUUAUGACUCUAUAUCUGGCAAUAGCUACUAUUCUGGAAUGGAUGGAUACACUUCUGGAGCAGCUAGAACAGCUUUCAUGGCAAAUUUUGAAGGGACUGCUGAUGAUGGAUGGUAUCUGGAUAGUGGGGCAACUCACCAUUUAACCAACAAUAUGGAGAAUUUGCAGAUCAAUGAAGAGUUUAAAGGUACUGAUUAGCUUAUCAUUGGAAAUGGUCAAGGUUUGUCUAUUACUCAUGUUGGACAUGCAUUUCUGGUAUUAAGAGCUUCUAAACCCUUAUCUACACAUGCUAGAAUAAAACUUAAAGAUAUGUUACUUGUCCCUUCAAUUACCAAAAAUCUAUUAAGUAUUUCUAAACUCACAUCUGAUAACCCUUUAUCUGUUGAAUUCUGUGGAAAUGCUUGUUUUGUGAAGGACAUGAAGGGUCAAGUUCUUCUGCAGGGUAUUGCUGAAAAAGGCCUUUACAAGCUGCUGCUGAACUCAAAUUCUCUUUCUUCAUCACCUACAUCUUAUCUUUGUAAAUCCCAGCCAAAUAAACUAGUCUCUAUGUUGUCUGCUUUCAAACACUCUGAUAAUGGUACUCGAGCUUGUUUUCAGUUUGUUUUAAAUAAGUGUAAUGCCAAACCUAAUGUAAUAACUUUGUUACAUAGAAAGUUUGGUCAUCCAAGCUCAAUGACAUUGAUGCAUUUGCUCAAAUCAUGUAAACAGUUUAAAGUCUCUCCAAAAGACAUGUUAUCUUCUGCAAGUACUUUAUGUGAAGCAUGUCAGCUAGGCAAAGUCCAUAAGCAACAUUUCUCAAUAACCGAAACAAAAACAAAAGAGGUAUUAGAAUUGAUCCAUACUGAUCUUUGGGGGCCUUCACCCACUGUGUCUAGAGAUGGAUACAAAUAUUACAUUAGUUUUGUGGAUGAUUACACUAGGUACUCUUGGAUCUAUCCUCUUAAGCUCAAAUCACAAGCAUUUGAAGUUUUCAAAUUGUGCAAAACUCAAGUUGAAAAUCAGUUUGAUACCAAAAUUAAGAUGCUACAAUCUGACCUUAGGGGAGAGUUUAGAGCAUUUACUGAUUUUCUCAAUCAAAAUGGAAUAAUCUUUAGGCACUCAUGUCCUUACAUCCAUCACCAGAAUGGUCUUGUUGAGAGGAAGCACAGGCAUAUAGUUGAACUAGGAUUAACCCUCAUGGCUCAAGCAAAUCUUCCUCUUCAAUUCUGGUGGGAAGCUGUUCAUACAGCAGUGUAUCAUAUUAAUAGAUUGCCUACCCCUGUUCUGAAAUUCUUAUCUCCUUAUGAGAAACUUUUCAAACACAAACCAGAUUACACAUUUCUAAAGUGUUUUGGUUGUCUUUGUUAUCCAUACUUGAGAGACUUUAACAAACAUAAGUUUGAUUUUCACACUUCUAAAUGCAUUUUUAUUAGAUACAAUCCCUCUUAUAAAGGAUACAAAUGCUUAGCAAGUUUUGGUAAAGUCUAUGUUCUUAGACAUGUCAUUUUUUAUGAAACACAUUCCCUUAUCCAAUAAACAUUGCAUUCUCAACAGAAAAUCACAUAUCUUCUAAAACCUCAGUGUCUAAUUUCUCUCAGCAACAUAUCUAUCAUCUUUCUACAAUAGCCUUACUCAACAGCAGCUUUGAAGGUCUUCAGUCAGCAAGCUCAGCAAGAAAUGAACAAAUGCCCUUUGGUCCCACACAUACAGAUGUUUUGAAUCAACAAGAACAUCCAUCACACACAUCCUUAGAGUUAUCAUCCUCAACCUCACCAUCACCAAACACAUUACUAAUGCAAUCAUCCAUUCUACAACCAGAGGAAACUUCUUCACAGAAUAUAGACCAAAUUCAAACCAGAAAUCAUUCCCAACCAUCUUCUCAUCCAAUGAUUACCAGAUCGAAAUCUGGAAUCUUCAAACCAAAGGUCUAUACAGUCACCUUAGCCAACAAAGAACCCAGUACAGUUCAAGAAGCUCUUAGUAGUCAGAAUUGGCAUCAAGCCAUGGUAGAUGAGUAUGAAGCUUUGAUGAAGAAUAAGACUUGGUCACUGGUACCAUUUUCAAAUGCAUACAAAGUAGUUGACAACAAAUGGGUGUUUAGACUCAAGCAAAAUACUGAUGGAAGCAUAGCCAAACACAAGGCCAGAUUGGUUGCCAAAGGUUUUCAGCAAACUGAAGGUGUGGAUUACUUUGAGACAUUUAGCCCAGUUGUAAAAGCUUCAACAGUGAGGAUUGUUUUGAGUUUAGCUGUGAUGCAUAAAUGGAAAAUAAGGCAAGUGGAUGUGAAUAAUGCCUUUUUGAAUGGAGAAUUGACAGAGGAUGUCUAUAUGUAUCAGCCUGAAGGUUUUAUUGAUCAACAAAAACCUAAUCAUGUAUGCAAGCUGAAGAAGGCCUUGUAUGGCUUAAAGCAAGCUCCUAGAGCUUGGUAUGACAAGCUUAAGAAUUGUCUGAUUGCUAAUUGGAAAUUUCAGAAUUCAAAGGCUGAUACCUCUCUUUUCUUCAAAGAAGUGCAGGGCUCAAUGAUACUCAUCUUAAUCUAUGUAGAUGACAUUCUAAUGACAGGACCUGACAAUGGUGAACUGGAGAAAUUCAUCUCAAAAUUCAGUAAGACUUUUGCUUUAAAAGACUUGGGAAUUCUGUCAUAUUUUCUAGGAAUAGAAGUGUCCUAUGCUGAAGAUUGCAUCUAUCUAUCUCAGAAGAAAUAUAUCUUGGAUUUGUUAUCCAAAGCUAAUAUGCAAAAUUGUAAAGGCUGUGACACUCCCAUAGUUACUGGAUCAAAGCUUCAGAAAGAAGUCACAGGCUGUUUGGGUCAAUAUAUUGAGGAUGCAACAAGCUAUAGAAGCUUAGUUGGAGGUUUACAAUAUCUAGUAUUAACCAUACCAGAGAUAGCAUUUGCUGUGCAUAAGUUGAGCCAGUAUGUGACAGCUCCAACACUCCAGCAUGUUAUGGCUUGUAAAAGAGUUCUUAGAUACCUCAAGGAGACUGCAGAUUAUGGUUUGAAGUUUUCAGCAGGUGGGGAAAUGAAGAUCACAGGAUUUACAGAUGCAGAUUGGGCAUGUGAUGUUGAUGACAGAAAAUCAAUAGGAGCCUAUUGCAUUUAUUUUGGAAGCAAUCUAAUUUCCUGGUCAUCCAAGAAGCAGGCUGUGGUUACACGAUCCAGUGCAGAGAGUGAAUAUCGUGCUCUUGCUUCUGCAAGUGCAGAGAUAACAUGGAUCCAGUCGUUAUUCAAUGAACUUAGCAUUAAGUGUACUUCAUUACCAACUAUCUGGUGUGACAAUAUAAGUGCAACAGAGUUGGCCAAGAAUCCAGUUUAUCAUUCAAGGACUAAACACAUUGAACUGGAUAUGCACUUUAUUAGAGACAAGGUUUUGGCAAAGGAGUUAGAGAUUAACUAUAUUCCCAGCGAGGAGCAAAUUGCUGAUGCUUUGACAAAGCCUCUGACAUUUAUUCAUUUCAACUAUUUCAGAGCCAAACUCAAUGUGCAACCAUGCCCCUUGAGUUUGAGGGGGACUGUCAAGGAAGCUCAUAAUGCAUGGAAGGAUGCAGCACACGUGUGAGAUGAAUAUAGUCAGCUGAAUCAAUUGAAGAGUGGAGUGCCAGCUCAGCUGAAGUUAGUUAGACACGUUAAGAUCAAGUUUUAGUUAGUUCUUCAUUUUCUGUUAAGCUGAAAAACAGCUGAGUAUAAAUACAAGCAUAUUGUAAUCAUUUUGAAGUUAAGUAAAAAUAAAAUAAAGCAUUUGAUUCCAGAAGUUCUUUUACAAAUUUUCUUAGCACUUUAGAUACAUUUUCUCAGUAACCAAACAGUCUGUUCAUUCAAGCUUUUAAGCUUUCAAACAAGUACUUCUAGCAUAGCCGCCGCUACUUGAGCCAUACAGAGCCGCAUGUGCCUCGGUGAAGUUUGUUGACAUAGGCUCGUAGUAUUCAGCUGUAACAACAUGAACCUAAUUCAAGUUUCGUUGCAUCGAUUUCAAAAGGUACGAAUUGUCUGGUGGUAAAUAACGAAAUCUUGCGGUCAGGAUCAGCUGGGAUUGCUGGCGGCCAGAGUUUUUUGCCUCUAAUUGUGUAGCAGCUCGGCACUCGUCAAAGAAUAAACCCGUAUUGGACAUAUCGGUGCUCGUGUUCGGAGCUUUCCAAGCAAAGUCUAGGCCCUGAAAGCCAUAAAGCCUAGCUAUUCUUAUUGAAGAGUCGAUGAAAGAUUUCCUGUGAGAAGAAUUUCUCACCAUUGAAGAAUAUAUAGAAUAGUUUGUAUAUCUUCCUUGUCUAAUGGAGAGAAGUGUAGUGGUUGAUGGGUUCUUUUGUUUCACAGUGCCUGUAAAUUUGGGGAAUAUUUGAUUUCCAUCAAACGGUGAUGAUAAAGAUAGCUGGUAAGUGGUGGAAUUGAUAUCAGCGUAAGAGCAGAUAAGGUGAGUGAAGAGAUCAUAAUUUAUGCCCGAAAUGGUGGACACUUCGCUUGGAUCCAAGUAGCCGACCCUGAUCCACGGUUUUGCUUUCGCGGGAUGAAAUUCUGAAUAGAACAACAUGUGGAAGAUGAUGCUGAUAAUUAUGGAUGCCAUUUGAGAGGCUUAUGCUUCUUAAUUACCACUUCGAUGGGAAUGGAAAUGAAUGCACACUAAUAGAAAUUAAAUAAACACAAGUUUCACAGUUCAUUAAGCUCUCAUGUGUACUAUUAACGUAUAGGUUCAUUUCGUUGCCCAAAAAAAUCUUAUGUGCUCCUGAUAGGGACACAUACAUUGGAUGAUAAGAUGAUGAUAGGCGAUGCGACCAUUGCCCAAGAACUAAGAUUUUCUUCUAUCGCGUGGGUGACUUUUCAUGAAGAAAAAUGAUGUUUUGAUUGACAUAUGGUUAAACCGAUGCCAUAUUUCGGGCUACAAAUAUCAGUAUUGUUUUAUUAAAUAAUUAAAAAAAUUAAUUUUACGUGCAUGUUGAAGGUAAUAUUGCAGUCUUUUGAGCCUGUGUUGAAUUUCAUUCGUGUGCGUUCAUUUAUUAUCUAUCCUCUUUUUUCUCUGUGUGUCUGCUAGCUCUAGUCAUCUUAAAAGAAUAACAUGUUUAAUUAAUGCAUGUAAAUGCACCGCAAAAGUAGUUAAGAAAGACUUGAUCAAAGAUCAGACAUUUUCUCUCUACUCAAAAAGUAGUUAUUGGACUAAUUAAGAUUCUAAUCCCUUUAAGAAAUAUUGAAAAAGGGUUACUGUCACUACUUCAGUCCUUGUUGUUACAUAUAUAUAUAUAUAUAUAUAUAUAUAUAAAUUUAAAGAAGCAUCACAUAAAUCCUUCCUAAUUAUAUUUUGUUUCAUUCAAGUUGUUGACUUAAUUUGUCUGCUUGGAAAAAUUAGUAAAAAGGUAAAAAUAAAAAAAUGUAAAUUCUACUUAUUAGACUAAAUAUAUAGUAUAAAUUUGCAGCAACCAGCAAAAGUUUGGAAUAUGAAAAAUCCUAUUAAUUUUUAAAAAAUCUCCGAAAGUUUGAAAACUAAUAUUUUAAGGUCCUUUUACAAUAACCAUAAUUAACAUGAAUUUACUAAAUUAGGCAAACCCGAAUUACUACCAUAUAAUAAAAUUUUAUAACAGAAAUAAGAAAACAAAACAAAUAGCAUCAAAUCUUAUAUCUAAAAAAAAAUCUUGAAAUAAAUAGAAAAAAUAAGAAAAUAACUAAAACUUGCAAAAUGACCAUGAAAGAAAUGAAAUUUCCGACUGAACCAAAGGGCCAAUACACAUAGCAUUAUUGGACUAGAUCUAUCAUGGUGCAAACUUCAAAACAGUAUAUUAUAUUUUCUAAAUGGACACAUAUAGGUUAAGUUAUGAUAUUAAAAAAUAUCCUAUUCAUCUUACACAACCAUUCUAUGUCACUAUAUCUAUACACUAAUAAUAUAACCCAAACAUUUAUGGAGCAUAACUCACAGACCUCCACUAAUUACACUAAAGUUUACUCUCAUUUUAUAAGAGAGAGAAAUGUUCUCGUUCUCCAUUUAUGGGGGAUUAAACCAAAUGGUCUGUUUUUGAUUUUCUGGUAAGUUGUGUAACGUUGGAGCUUUUUGGCACUUCUUUGACGAAAAGUCGUUCUCUUCGACAACCCAAAAUUCGGGCCAAUGGGCAAUUAUGAAAGUCCAUUGGAUGCAUUGGACCAAACUAAAAGUCCAUAUAUAUAUGUAUAUAUAUAUAUAUAUUCAAUAAAUGAAAUGAAAAAAUGCAAUUGGCUUGCAGUUGCAAAGCUUCUUUGUUUAUUAUUAUAUAAUAUAAUAUAAUAUAAUUUUAUAUCAUUUUGAAUAUCAAAAUUUUAUUUCAAAAUUUAUUUAACACUAGUGUUUAAUAUAAGAUACAAUACUACCAAAAUUCUAUUCAAUAGUUUAUUUAAAAUAGUAUUGACUAUUAAAAAUAAGAAUUUACACUAAUAUUAAAUAUUAAAUUCAACAAUUAGUAACAUUAUUUAAAAUAAUUAUAGUAUUUAAAUGGUUAUUUAUCUUUAUUAAAUAAGAUUUAACAUAAUCCUCUGCGACAUUUUACUAAAUAAAUACAGUACUAUAUAUAAUCCAAUCUAAUCUUAAACAAUAAUCUAUUCUAUUCCUACCUUCCAAAUAUAAACACAAUAGAUAAUGAGAGCAUGAGCUAUGAGAUUAUAAAUCAUGGAUCAAGGGAGUAGAGAUACAGACCUUGAGAUCAUAGAUCGUAGACUAUUAGAGACUAAAGACCGUGGACAAAUCCGAGUACAUUAAAAAAAGGGGAAUUUUAGUCAAAUGUAGAUUGAUAUUAAGGAAUUCAGCAAGCAAGCUACAAGAAUAUCCAAAAGCGUGUAAUUUAUGUUUAAGGAAACAAGUGGAGAUAGAGAUGAAAUUGUAAAUUCAUCCCAAUCUUAAGUGGCUUAAUUCAAGAUGUAUGUUACCUACAAGCACAAUAAUAUGUACACGUUAUGUAUACAUGCAUCACAUACGUGCGUCGAUCAUCGAUGUAAAAGUAACAGUAAAUUUCUAGUAAAACAAACAUCAUUACUUUUAGUAUAAGAUGUAAAAAAUAUCAAUUAAUAACCAUUAGAAAAUAAAAAUUUAUGUAAUUGAUGCAGAUAAAUGGAAUCAAGUAGUAACAUUUCCUUCUCAUUGAAGAGAAAAGAUUAAAAAAAAGAAAAGGGGGGGGGGGGGGGGGGGGGAGGAGCGCAAACAUGACAAUUAUUUUUAUCCGCACGUGCCAUGAUAAUCGAUAAUCCGAUAUACCAACCGCGUCUAAUUGUCUGAAUUCUCAAGCUUAUCAAGCUUGCUCAAUCGCACCGCAGACACUGACCAUGGGAGAUUAAUCACCACUCGCAGUAUUAGGCGCGUGAAGGACACAUUCGCCAAUAAUUUAUAGCGGACAGUAGCAUUCCCGAUGCUGCGCGGAGAAAAAUAGUUGGGCUUGCGAAAGUUAAAUUGACUUGACUCGACAGAGUGAAGAAUGGUGGUGGUUGCUGUUAAGCAGUCGGUACUUCUGGCGACUGCUUGGCUUACACGCAGUUCCCGGGGGUGUCAUUUGACUGUGAAAGAGAAUUUUGGCUUUAUUGAUAUCUUGUUGGAUUUGGAAUUUUGGAUGGCUUCGUGUAGACCAUAAGACACGAUAUCGUUCAUAACACGUUAGCAUUCUUUCUCACGGGAGAAAAACUCGGGUGGGAGCAGAUGUACCAUCUCAACUGCCGUUUAUAAAUGGCUGUCAAAUAAUUAAUCAAAAUUUUAUUAUUUACGGUUAUAAUUGGAAUGAUAAAAAAUCAAUUCGAUGUUAUUCUUUGUGGCUCUGCUUAGAAUACUAAAAAAUCAAAUCGACUUAUUUAUUUUUAUAUUGAUCAUUACAAGUCUCUUGAAUUUUUUACCUACUUCAUUAACUUGUUAUUUUGAGUUGUACGUAACAUGGCUUUUUUUGUUUUUUACUUUACUUUGGUUUUCUUUAUAACCCAUAAAAAUUUUCUUGUUAAGACUGUGUGAACCAAUUGAAACUUCAGAUUCAUACUAGAACUAUGAUGAUUUGAUAAGAGCUUCAAAUUAAAUCCACAGAUUCUAUGAAAAGAAAAGAAAAGAAAAAGUCUUUUAUUGGUAAAAGAAGAAAGCUCUUCGGCACUGAUCCGAAGAAAAAUCAUUCUCCAUACAAUGAGCAAAACAAAGUCCAAUUCGCAUUACAUAGAAGUAAAACCGAAGCAUUGGACUAAAAGCAUACAUUAGUCUUAUUUUUCGUUACUGAUAACAUUUUUUUUCCCUUAUAUUAUCACCUUAAUUAAGAAAAAUAAUAAUUUGUUUAACUAAUUACAAAAAAGGAUGGCUAUAUACAAUAUUCUUGUGUUGGAUGGCCUUAAAAGUCAAUUCUUUUGAAACAGGAAAACUGGUAUCGUUUUUCAAAACACAAAAAUAUUAUGUUAAGAAAAUGAAUGGUCUUUAAGAGUUAUGACAAUGAUAUCAAUAAAAUUACAAAAUCUUAAGAGUUUAUAGAUGUAGUUAGUGAUAUUACAUUACAUUAAUUAAUACAAUGCAAAUUGUUUACUAAUAGAGCCUCAGGAGAGUGAUUCAUUAUUUAGUUGGCCAAUUAAACAACUGCAGCAGUCACUAGCAGCUUGCCAAGAGCUAGCAUAGAUCAAUUGUUCAUCUACCAACCAAUUUUGAAAUUGUUACAUCAUUACUUGAACAUAUUUCCAAUCCAAUCGUGGCUUUGUUUUGUUCAUCUUCAUAAGCUUUGUUUGAGAAACUUGCAGGCUUCUUUGGAGUCAUUAUAUCAGCUGUAUUUUCAUUUUCGAUCAACGAAGAAAUUUCUAGUAUAGAAGGUCUAUUGUUUGGGUUCUCCUGAACACAUAGCAAAGCUACUUGCAGACAUGUCAAUAAUUUCCAUGAGGAAUGCGUAUCAUCUAGUGAUGGAUCCAUUAACUCCGUGCCUUUCCCAUCCUUCCACAACUCGUAUGCCUGAAAACAUCAAAUAUGUUAUUGACUAACAUUCAAUUAAUUAGCACUGUAAUGUUUUGAUUCAGUGAAUAUUAAAAAGGGGGUUAUGAAGAAACUUACAUACUCUACAAGGCUUAGAUUUUCAUUUUGACCAUAUCGAAUGAAAAGUCUUCGCCCACUUAUAAUUUGCAGAAGCAAAACCCCAAAACUGUAGACAUCAGAUUUAGUGGAGUAGAUGCCUCUUCCGACAUAUUCAGGAGGGAUAUAGCCUCUGUAGUAUCAAGUAAUUAUAAAUGUCAGUGUUUGACAUAAAAGAUUAAGUUGAUUGGUAAAGGUUCAACAAUAAUAUUAAAGGCAUGUCAGACAAUAAUAGACAAAUAUACACUUACUGUGUUCCAACAAUUCGAUUUGUGUUUGCUUCAAGAUCAUCUUUCACAAAAAUUCUAGCCAAGCCAAAAUAUGAUAUUUUAGGUGUCAAAUCUUCAUCCAACAAAAUAUUACUAACUUUUAAGUCUCGAUGAAUAAUUGUUAAUCUAGAAUAUUCUUGGAGAUAGAGAAGCCCCUGAAUAAUUCCUUAAAUGAUAUAAAUACGUUUUUUCAAAUCCAAAAUAAGCCUUCGGAUGGGAUCUGCAUCAAAUGUAAACUUAGUUGGACGGUCAGCACCAUUAGCAUUUGGAGACAGAGAAAUGCAAAUUGAGGCACAAAAAUUAGAAAUUAAGCAGUUAAGCACACACCAAAAAGGAAAUAGUCUAAGCUUCGUUUUGGCAUAUACUCAUAGAUGAGCAUAUAUUCUUGCGUGUCGAUGCAAAAACCCAAAACUCUGAUCAAAUUUAUGUGUUGAAGCUUUGCAGUAAGCAUAACCUCAUUCUUGAACUCCUCAAAUCCUUGUGUGGAUGUCUUCGAGAGUUUCUUCACUACUAUUAUUUGUCCAUCAGGUAAUGCACCCUGCAAGCACCCCCCAAAAUAUAUGUUUUUUUAAAAAUCAGUGUGUUCACACACACACACACGUAGCUUGCACUAAUUAAUUAAUAAGCUAAGAGAUAACCAAGCUACCGAUACAUAACCUUGUAAACAGGACCAUAUCCACCCUCCCCGAGCUUAUUUUCGAUUGAAAAUCUAUCCGUGGCCACCUCAAUAUCAGCCAAGCUAUAUUCUCUCAGAUCAGGAUCAUUGCUGUUAAAAUCUCCAGCAUCUGCUUGACUAUUUUCGCUGUCCUUUGAUGCUUUGGCUGAGUCAAUUACGGUCCAAUUAAUAUCAACCAAGAGAAAGAAAGCUAAUUUAAGUGAAUUGCCCACUUCUUCAUCUGUGUUAAAUGGAAUAGAAGUAAAAAUAUUCCUAAUCCCGUGUAGAAGAAGUUACCUUUUAAUUUGAGGUUUUUCAUCCAGCAGUAGUAAUACAGUAAAAAACCAAUUAGAAGAAUACAAGCUGCCGUUAUAGGGAAAACAAUUGCCCAUAAUAGUCGCUUAUUUUGUCGAUUCUUAUUUUCCUCUUGAGCUGAAAAGUCAAAUCACUUUGUGUUAGUUAAACAUUUGAUGGUCAAAUAAAGAUCUUAAUUGAAGUCAUUAUGCAGAGAACUGAUCAAAUGGAUAGCAGGCAGUGACUGAGGCUUUGCAUUUGCUUACCUGCAGCUUGAGAAAGCAUCCAAUAAUGAUCAUAGGAAACUAGCCACACAAAGUAACCACGUAGUUUCUUCUCCUUGGCAUAUGAAACCUUCACUCUAACGGCUUCGACAUCAUCAAAACCAAACCAAAUCUUCCCAAUCGAGAAGUAAUUCAUCACAUAAGUUGAAUUGUACAUAACUUGAACGUUAGGACCAUAGUGCUUGAUGCGAUUCUUGAUUUCCUUAUAAGUCACAAGGCCGCUAGAAUACAAAGCUGGUCCUGUUGCUGCUGCACCAAUACCGUUGUCCUCAGGUUUCACAAGCGUCCAUGCAUAGCCAUAGAAAGGUAAACAUAAAACCAAUUUAUCAGCCGAUAACCCUUCCUCAAUCCAUUCCGUGAUUCCGUAUUCAGUAUUGGAGAUACUAUUUGGAUCAUACAGAGCCGCGUGAGCACCAGUAAAAUUUGACCACAUAGGUUUUGUGUAUUCAGUAGUCAAAACAUGAACCCAAUUCAAGUAUUGACUUAUCGAGUCGACUGGGUAAGCUCCUGCUCUUGAGAAUGGUGAAUAUGCGACCAUUGCCGUCAAAAUCAACUGUGAUUGGCUCGAGUUAUUUCUUGCUUCUAAAUCUACGGCUGCUCGCCACUCUUUAAAGAGAAUGCCAAUAUUGUACUUAUCCCAGCUUGUGUUUGCCUGAGGCCAAGAGAGAUCUAAGCCUUGAAAGCCAUAAAGUCUUCCUAUUUUUAUUGAGGAGUCAAUGAAGGAUUUCCUAGAAGAAGGAUUGCUCGCCAUGGAAGAAUAAGUUGAAUAGUUUGCAUCAUUUCCUCCGAUGGAAAGAAGUGUAGUGAUUGAUGGGUUCUUUAUUUUGACAGUGUCAGUGAAGUUAGAGAAUUGUUUUUCAUCAGAAGGUGAUAAAGAAAGCUCAUAGGAAGUUGAAUUCGUUGAAACAAAAACAAACGUUAUGCCUUUGAUCGUGCAUUUCCAAAUAAACACAUAUUUUAGGUAAUUCCGAAAUUUACCACGAUCUCCCAUGAAUCCGAACUUGCAGCUUGUUAUGGAGCUUCAACAGAGUUGCUGCUGCUUCGGUCUAGCUUCUGAAUUCCGCUUUCUUUUCCUUCAGCUCCAGAUUCGGCUUUUCUCAGUAAGUUACUGUACACACACGGGAGAGAAACGGGAGAGAGAGAGAUGCACUGCACUCAUGCCAGAGAUUUCUUGAACAGUCAACUUCCAAUGGGCUGAAGUUACUUAAAUACAGUGGUUGAGCGCAGGGAACCCUCAUGUGUUAGUACAAAAUUACCCAUCCCAUUAUGGGCUUAAAUAACACAAUUAAGGAUAUACUUGUCCAUAAUAUACUACUGUACAGGGUAUGUCAAAAUUAGACUCAUUAACACCAUAUUUGAUCACUUAAUAAAUGAGUCUGUCAAAAUUGCUCAACAAUAUUUGACUUUAGUCACGUAUUAAUUCGGUAAAAUAUAGAAAAUAAUUAGAAUGAUUUAUGUCAGUCCACAUAAUGUGAGAAAUAAAUCUAACAGAAUUGACAUUAGCAAAACCACAUAUAAGGUGAGUGAAAAGAGCAGAAUUUACAUCUGAAACGGGGAACCCGUUGCCUGAAUCCCAGUAACCAGCUCUGAUUAAAGUUUGUGUUCCUGCAGGAAGCGAUUCUGAAAAUAUAAAAAUGUGGAGGACAAGAAUGAUAAUUUUGGAUGCCAUUGUGGGAACCUAGCUGCUUUGAGGCAUACCUAGUAAGUGAUUACAUAUAUAUGUACACACACAAUGUAAUGGAGAAAAUAUCCGAUAGCGAUUGAGAUUAGUUAUUGGACUAUAAUACA